AGCGAACGCUGGCGGCAGGCCUAACACAUGCAAGUCGAACGAACUCUUCGGAGUUAGUGGCGGACGGGUGAGUAACACGUGGGAACGUGCCUUUAGGUUCGGAAUAACUCAGGGAAACUUGUGCUAAUACCGAAUGUGCCCUUCGGGGGAAAGAUUUAUCGCCUUUAGAGCGGCCCGCGUCUGAUUAGCUAGUUGGUGAGGUAAAGGCUCACCAAGGCGACGAUCAGUAGCUGGUCUGAGAGGAUGAUCAGCCACAUUGGGACUGAGACACGGCCCAAACUCCUACGGGAGGCAGCAGUGGGGAAUCUUGCGCAAUGGGCGAGAGCCUGACGCAGCCAUGCCGCGUGAAUGAUGAAGGUCUUAGGAUUGUAAAAUUCUUUCACCGGGGACGAUAAUGACGGUACCCGGAGAAGAAGCCCCGGCUAACUUCGUG
Molecule: ribosomal RNA, 433 nt
Filed under: uncultured bacterium
Lineage: Bacteria
Description: partial 16S ribosomal RNA
Rfam family: Bacterial small subunit ribosomal RNA
Source: RNAcentral